This 310-nucleotide ribosomal RNA is filed under the name uncultured Shewanella sp. RNAcentral describes it as "bacterial SSU rRNA". It matches the Rfam family "Bacterial small subunit ribosomal RNA", at positions 30 to 334 of the family's 1533-position model. The record is from RNAcentral. Lineage: Bacteria; Pseudomonadati; Pseudomonadota; Gammaproteobacteria; Alteromonadales; Shewanellaceae.
AUUGAACGCUGGCGGCAGGCCUAACACAUGCAAGUCGAGCGGUAACACAAGGGAGCUUGCUCCUGAGGUGACGAGCGGCGGACGGGUGAGUAAUGCCUGGGAAUUUGCCCAGUUGUGGGGGAUAACAGUUGGAAACGACUGCUAAUACCGCAUAAACCCUACGGGGAAAAGCAGGGGACCUUCGGGCCUUGCGCAAUUGGAUAAGCCCAGGUGGGAUUAGCUAGUAGGUGAGGUAAUGGCUCACCUAGGCGACGAUCCCUAGCUGUUCUGAGAGGAUGAUCAGCCACACUGGAACUGAGACACGGUCCAG